Long non-coding RNA from Ficedula albicollis (Collared flycatcher), 286 nucleotides. RefSeq lists it as uncharacterized. The transcript is spliced from 3 exons. The record is from RefSeq and is a predicted model, not a curated record. NCBI's taxonomy places the organism in Eukaryota, Metazoa, Chordata, Aves, Passeriformes, Muscicapidae.
ACCUCACCUCUCAACUGCUUUCACUAGCUCAGCACUGUAGCAAUGCCCUCAUGUACCCUUGUCUCGUUCAACUCGGGGUACGGAGAGGACAGGUUUGCACCUACCCAGAGUGUACAAUAAAGCUACAGGCAGAUUUAACAUAUCUUAAUCCAACAUAAGCUCGGAUCAGUUUAGAUAAUCUUUGUCACUCCUGAGUCAUGACUGGACACAGACGUCACUCAGUGGCCCCGGGAAUCAAUGGGAGAUUUUACUGUGAGAACAAUAAACAGUGUAAGCACUAAGCAAA